GAUGAACGCUGGCGGCGUGCCUAAUACAUGCAAGUCGAGCGAACGGACGAGAAGCUUGCUUCUCUGAUGUUAGCGGCGGACGGGUGAGUAACACGUGGAUAACCUACCUAUAAGACUGGGAUAACUUCGGGAAACCGGAGCUAAUACCGGAUAAUAUUUUGAACCGCAUGGUUCAAAAGUGAAAGACGGUCUUGCUGUCACUUAUAGAUGGAUCCGCGCUGCAUUAGCUAGUUGGUAAGGUAACGGCUUACCAAGGCAACGAUGCAUAGCCGACCUGAGAGGGUGAUCGGCCACACUGGAACUGAGACACGGUCCAGACUCCUACGGGAGGCAGCAGUAGGGAAUCUUCCGCAAUGGGCGAAAGCCUGACGGAGCAACGCCGCGCGAGUGAUGAAGGUCUUCGGAUCGUAAAACUCUGUUAUUAGGGAAGAACAUAUGUGUAAGUAACUGUGCACAUCUUGACGGUACCUAAUCAGAAAGCCACGGCUAACUACGUGCCAGCAGCCGCGGUAAUACGUAGGUGGCAAGCGUUAUCCGGAAUUAUUGGGCGUAAAGCGCGCGUAGGCGGUUUUUUAAGUCUGAUGUGAAAGCCCACGGCUCAACCGUGGAGGGUCAUUGGAAACUGGAAAGCUUGAGUGCAGAAGAGGAAAGUGGAAUUCCAUGUGUAGCGGUGAAAUGCGCAGAGAUAUGGAGGAACACCAGUGGCGAAGGCGACUUUCUGGUCUGUAACUGACGCUGAUGUGCGAAAGCGUGGGGAUCAAACAGGAUUAGAUACCCUGGUAGUCCACGCCGUAAACGAUGAGUGCUAAGUGUUAGGGGGUUUCCGCCCCUUAGUGCUGCAGCUAACGCAUUAAGCACUCCGCCUGGGGAGUACGACCGCAAGGUUGAAACUCAAAGGAAUUGACGGGGACCCGCACAAGCGGUGGAGCAUGUGGUUUAAUUCGAAGCAACGCGAAGAACCUUACCAAAUCUUGACAUCCUUUGACAACUCUAGAGAUAGAGCCUUCCCCUUCGGGGGACAAAGUGACAGGUGGUGCAUGGUUGUCGUCAGCUCGUGUCGUGAGAUGUUGGGUUAAGUCCCGCAACGAGCGCAACCCUUAAGCUUAGUUGCCAUCAUUAAGUUGGGCACUCUAAGUUGACUGCCGGUGACAAACCGGAGGAAGGUGGGGAUGACGUCAAAUCAUCAUGCCCCUUAUGAUUUGGGCUACACACGUGCUACAAUGGACAAUACAAAGGGCAGCGAAACCGCGAGGUCAAGCAAAUCCCAUAAAGUUGUUCUCAGUUCGGAUUGUAGUCUGCAACUCGACUACAUGAAGCUGGAAUCGCUAGUAAUCGUAGAUCAGCAUGCUACGGUGAAUACGUUCCCGGGUCU
Molecule: ribosomal RNA, 1372 nt
Filed under: uncultured bacterium
Lineage: Bacteria
Description: bacterial SSU rRNA
Rfam family: Bacterial small subunit ribosomal RNA
Source: RNAcentral